RNAcentral lists this ribosomal RNA (253 nucleotides) under uncultured bacterium. RNAcentral's name for it is "partial 16S ribosomal RNA". It matches the Rfam family "Bacterial small subunit ribosomal RNA", at positions 524 to 776 of the family's 1533-position model. The record is from RNAcentral.
UACGUAGGGUGCAGGCGUUAAUCGGAAUUACUGGGCGUAAAGCGUGCGCAGGCGGUUUGCUAAGACAGGUGUGAAAUCCCCGGGCUUAACCUGGGAACUGCGCUUGUUACUGGCAAGCUGGAGUGUGGCAGAGGGGGGUGGAAUUCCACGUGUAGCAGUGAAAUGCGUAGAGAUGUGGAGGAACACCGAUGGCGAAGGCAGCCUCCUGGGAUAACACUGACGCUCAUGCACGAAAGCGUGGGGAGCAAACAGG